Molecule: ribosomal RNA, 497 nt
Filed under: uncultured bacterium
Lineage: Bacteria
Description: partial 16S ribosomal RNA
Rfam family: Bacterial small subunit ribosomal RNA
Source: RNAcentral
GAUGAACGCUGGCGGCGUGCCUAAUACAUGCAAGUCGAGCGAACAGACGAGGAGCUUGCUCCUCUGACGUUAGCGGCGGACGGGUGAGUAACACGUGGAUAACCUACCUAUAAGACUGGGAUAACUUCGGGAAACCGGAGCUAAUACCGGAUAAUAUAUUGAACCGCAUGGUUCAAUAGUGAAAGACGGUUUUGCUGUCACUUAUAGAUGGAUCCGCGCCGCAUUAGCUAGUUGGUACGGUAACGGCUUACCAAGGCAACGAUGCGUAGCCGACCUGAGAGGGUGAUCGGCCACACUGGAACUGAGACACGGUCCAGGCGCCUACGGGAGGCAGCAGUAGGGAAUCUGCCGCAAUGGGCGAAAGCCUGACGGAGCAACGCCGCGUGAGUGAUGAAGGUCUUCGGAUCGUAAAACUCUGUUAUUAGGGAAGAACAAAUGUGUAAGUAACUAUGCACGUCUUGACGGUACCUAAUCAGAAAGCCACGGCUAACUACGUG